UACUUAACUGAGGUAAAGGAGGG
Molecule: non-coding RNA, 23 nt
Filed under: Rattus norvegicus (Norway rat)
Lineage: Eukaryota; Metazoa; Chordata; Mammalia; Rodentia; Muridae
Source: RNAcentral